CAAAUGGGGAUUAAAAGUUGGUCUUUGGUCUUCUUUUAGGAAUCAGAUGGUGGAACUGAGACCUCGGACACAAUUGCCUUGGGUAAAACAUCCCUAGCACAUAAUGACUGGCAAGAAGACUCAGAAGAUUGUUGGGAGUCUCGUGUAACCAGGAUGGCACUGACCUCAUUCUAUAGCUGUUACUGGCACUGACUUCCUCAUCUUCCUGGGAUCACAAGCCCUUGCUAUCACACCCAGCUGUCACUGAAUCUUUAUGAUGACUAGAUUUGAACUGCAAUUGAGAUAUUGAGUCCUUCAUUCAGUUCUUGGUUUUGCACUUUAAUCAAAGCCACAAAUCAAAUUCAUACUCAGCAAUUUAUUUUAACCACUAUGAUUCUUAUUUUCCAUUGAGCUAAGAACAGGUAUAUAAUGAAUAAAUUGUCAAAAAAUUAAAUUUAAAUUUAAAAAAUUAAUUUACAAAAACACUUGCAUAAAAGAUGAAAUGCAAUAAGGAAAUCAAAUUUGAGGGAUAUCUCCAUUAUGGAAAUACUUGGCACAUUAGUGUAUAGACCAGUGAUUUGUCUCAAUACCUUUCCCUUUACAAUAUAUGCUAGAUUUGUUGAGGUGCAUGAAAACCCACCUCAGCUAGCAUCUGAAGUCAAUGUUAACCCACUCUAUGUCUCUCCAGCAUAUAACAAACCACUAAUCCACGUGUAUGAAAAGGGUUCACUUCUGAGAUCUGCUGUGGUUCUUUAUGGGGAGUCAAUUUAUUGCUGGGCACUCGAACUAGUUUGUAUCUGAUGGACAGAAGUGGAAAGGCAGACAUCAUUAAACUUAUAAAGCGAAGACCAUUCUGCCAGAUUCAAGUCGUGGAGGCACUCAAUUUGCUGAUGACCAUCUCUGGUUUGUUUAAGACCUAAAAUUAGCUAAGUAAUUAUGUGGAGUAAUUGAAGUGCAAACUAGGUUAAAGGCUUUCUUAGGUAAAACUGUUCAUAAGAAAACACUUUAAAUAUACCCUUUAACUGGGACAGCAGAAUCUCCUACUUGUGUUUUUAUAUCCUUUUACACUUUAAAUAAAAUCCCUUGAUCUUGAUGCACCUAACCUAGGUUGGAGAUCAGAAAAACUGCAUUUACUUCCUUGAAAGUUCUUUUCAGAGUUAUCUCUAAAAUUGCAUAGCUGAAAUCAACAUCCACAAGGGCCAACACCAAUAUCCACCAUCUAGCUUAUGAUAUAUCAGAAACAACAAAGAACCAAAUGGAUGAAUAUUUGGGCAAAAGAGAGAAUUUUACCUGUCUCUGCCUUAUUACAAGGGCAGAUAGACAAGAUUAGGUACAAGAAUGGAUGCCCUAAAGACAUCUGCACCUUUCCCAAACAGUGGUUGGUUUUCAUAAUCUUGAUCUGUCAGAGCCUGAAACUUUGACUUUAAAAAAAACAAGUAAGUUGGUGUUAAACUGUGACUACUAAAUGAAUGAAAAAUAAAUAAUUAAAACAAUGACAUGACUUUCCUA
This is a long non-coding RNA of Psammomys obesus (fat sand rat), 1488 nucleotides long. RefSeq lists it as uncharacterized. The record is from RefSeq and is a predicted model, not a curated record. The transcript has 4 exons. Lineage: Eukaryota; Metazoa; Chordata; Mammalia; Rodentia; Muridae.